This 75-nucleotide transfer RNA is filed under the name marine sediment metagenome. Its description in RNAcentral is "tRNA-Glu". It matches the Rfam family "tRNA". Rfam says of the family: Transfer RNA (tRNA) molecules are approximately 80 nucleotides in length. Their secondary structure includes four short double-helical elements and three loops (D, anti-codon, and T loops). Further hydrogen bonds mediate the characteristic L-shaped molecular structure. tRNAs have two regions of fundamental functional importance: the anti-codon, which is responsible for specific mRNA codon recognition, and the 3' end, to which the tRNAs corresponding amino acid is attached (by aminoacyl-tRNA synthetases). tRNAs cope with the degeneracy of the genetic code in two manners: having more than one tRNA (with a specific anti-codon) for a particular amino acid; and 'wobble' base-pairing, i.e. permitting non-standard base-pairing at the 3rd anti-codon position. The record is from RNAcentral.
GGCCCGGUAGUUUAGUGGUUAGAAUUCAGGGUUUUCAUUCCUGCGGUCGGAGUUCGAUUCUCCGUCGGGCUACCA